UACGAAGGGGGCUAGCGUUACUCGGAUUGACUGGGCGUAAAGGGCGCGUAGGCGGCUUGUACAGUCAGACGUGAAAUUCCUGGGCUCAACCUGGGGGCUGCGUUUGAUACAGCACGUCUUGAGUCCGAUAGAGGUGGGUGGAAUUCCUAGUGUAGAGGUGAAAUUCGUAGAUAUUAGGAAGAACACCGGUGGCGAAGGCGGCCCACUGGAUCGGUACUGACGCUGAGGUGCGAAAGCGUGGGGAGCGAACAGG
RNAcentral lists this ribosomal RNA (253 nucleotides) under uncultured bacterium. RNAcentral describes it as "partial 16S ribosomal RNA". It matches the Rfam family "Bacterial small subunit ribosomal RNA", at positions 524 to 776 of the family's 1533-position model. The record is from RNAcentral.